Molecule: unclassified non-coding RNA, 525 nt
Filed under: Hevea brasiliensis (rubber tree)
Lineage: Eukaryota; Viridiplantae; Streptophyta; Magnoliopsida; Malpighiales; Euphorbiaceae
Source: RNAcentral
AUUUUAAAUUAGUUUGUCUCAUUAAAUAUUAUGAGAUAGAGUAAUAUUAUUACCCAUGUAAUAUUUAUGUUUGACUUUUUAUGUGUUUGCAAAAAUUGGUUAAAACUUACAUGUGUCUGACCUUUUCUGUGUUUGCUUAGAUGGAUCUUACCUACUAGAUGAGGAUGAAAUUUUGGUUGAAACUUAGAGAUUCAGGAUCUUAUCUGCUAGGUGCAAAUCCUAAUGUUUGUGUCUGACUAAAUAUGCAGAUUCAAAAAUCUAGUAGGUAAUAUUUGUGUUUGAAAAUUUUUGACUAAGCAUACACAUUGUAAGAUAGUCUUACCUACUAGAUGGAGCUAAAAAUUAAUAAAAGUAAAAAAUUUCCAAUGGACCACAUGGAAACUAUAAUGAAUUAAGUAUUGAAGCAAUCUGCAUUUUGCAAAUUUUGUAAUCUGAAGCAAUCUGCAUUUGCAGAUUCUGCAAUAUGCCAUCUGCAUCGCACUACCACAUAACUGUAUUACAUGACCUGAUUAUUAUACACUAAAA